RNAcentral lists this ribosomal RNA (468 nucleotides) under uncultured bacterium. RNAcentral's name for it is "partial 16S ribosomal RNA". It matches the Rfam family "Bacterial small subunit ribosomal RNA", at positions 28 to 507 of the family's 1533-position model. The record is from RNAcentral.
GACGAACGCUGGCGGCGUGCUUAACACAUGCAAGUCGAACGGAAAGGCCAUGCUUUUGUGGGGUGCUCGAGUGGCGAACGGGUGAGUAACACGUGAGUAACCUGCCCUUGACUUUGGGAUAACUUCAGGAAACUGGGGCUAAUACCGGAUAGGAGCUACUGCUGCAUGGUGGGGGUUGGAAAGAUUCGGCGGUUGGGGAUGGACUAGCGGCUUAUCAGCUUGUUGGUGGGGUAGUGGCUGACCAAGGCUUUGACGGGUAGCCGGCCUGAGAGGGGGACCGGCCACAUUGGUACUGAGGUACGGCCCAGACUCCUACGGGAGGCAGCGGGGGAGAAUAUUGCACAAUGGGCGGAAGCCUGAUGCAGCAACGCCGGGUGCGGAAUGACGGCUUUCGGGUUGUAAACCACUUUCGCCUGUGACGAAGCGUGAGUGACGGUAAUGGGUAAAGAAGCACCGGCUAACUACGUG